AAUCAACGCUGGCGGCGUGCCUAACACAUGCAAGUCGCACGAGAAAGGGACUUCGGUCCUGAGUACAGUGGCGCACGGGUGAGUAACACGUGAAUAAUCUACCUUCGAGUGGGGAAUAACUGAGAGAAAUCUUAGCUAAUACCGCAUAAUACCUACGGGUCAAAGCAGCAAUGCGCUUGAAGAGGAGUUCGCGGCAGAUUAGUUAGUUGGCAGGGUAAUGGCCACCAAGACGAUGAUCUGUAUCCGGCCUGAGAGGGCGCACGGACACACUGGAACUGAAACACGGUCCAGACUCCUACGGGAGGCAGCAGUGGGGAAUUUUGCGCAAUGGGGGAAACCCUGACGCAGCAACGCCGCGUGGAGGAUGAAAUCCCUUGGGA
This 380-nucleotide ribosomal RNA is filed under the name uncultured bacterium. Its description in RNAcentral is "bacterial SSU rRNA". It matches the Rfam family "Bacterial small subunit ribosomal RNA", at positions 32 to 423 of the family's 1533-position model. The record is from RNAcentral.